GACGGAGGAUGCAAGCGUUAUCCGGAAUGAUUGGGCGUAAAGCGUCCGCAGGUGGCAGUUCAAGUCUGCUGUCAAAGACCGGGGCUUAACUUCGGAAAGGCAGUGGAAACUGAACAGCUAGAGUAUGGUAGGGGCAGAGGGAAUUCCCGGUGUAGCGGUGAAAUGCGUAGAGAUCGGGAGGAACAUCUGUGGCGAAGGCGGCCAUCUGGACCAGCACUGACACUGAGGCACGAAAGCGUGGGGAGCAAACAGG
RNAcentral lists this ribosomal RNA (253 nucleotides) under uncultured bacterium. Its description in RNAcentral is "partial 16S ribosomal RNA". It matches the Rfam family "Bacterial small subunit ribosomal RNA", at positions 524 to 776 of the family's 1533-position model. The record is from RNAcentral.